RNAcentral lists this ribosomal RNA (471 nucleotides) under Theileria velifera. RNAcentral's name for it is "SSU rRNA". It matches the Rfam family "Eukaryotic small subunit ribosomal RNA", at positions 1326 to 1806 of the family's 1831-position model. The record is from RNAcentral. Lineage: Eukaryota; Apicomplexa; Aconoidasida; Piroplasmida; Theileriidae.
CGAUAACGAACGAGACUCUGGCAUGCUAACUAGUUACGCGACCCCCGAGCGGUCGGCGUCCCCCAACUUCUUAGAGGGACAAGUGGCGUUCAGCCACCCGAGAUUGAGCAAUAACAGGUCUGUGAUGCCCUUAGAUGUCCGGGGCUGCACGCGCGCUACACUGACUGGCUCAGCGUGUGCCUACCCUACGCCGGCAGGCGCGGGUAACCCGUUGAACCCCAUUCGUGAUGGGGAUCGGGGAUUGCAAUUAUUCCCCAUGAACGAGGAAUUCCCAGUAAGUGCGGGUCAUAAGCUUGCGUUGAUUAAGUCCCUGCCCUUUGUACACACCGCCCGUCGCUACUACCGAUUGGAUGGUUUAGUGAGGCCCUCGGAUCGGCCCCGCCGGGGUCGGCCCACGGCCCUGGCGGAGCGCUGAGAAGACGGUCGAACUUGACUAUCUAGAGGAAGUAAAAGUCGUAACAAGGUUUCCUA